GAUGAACGCUGGCGGCGUGCCUAAUACAUGCAAGUCGAACGGACAGACGAGGAUCUUGCUCCUCUGGCGUUAGCGGCGCACGAGUGAGUAACACUGGGAGAGCAGCCCUAUCAGACUACGAUAACUACUAGAACCCGGAGCUAAUACCGGAUAAUAUAUUCCACCGCAUGGUUCACUAGCGACUGACGAACUUGCUGUCACUUCUAGAUCGAACCGCGCCGCAUUAGCUUGUUGGUACGGUAACGGCUUACCAAGGCACUGAUGCGUAGCCGACCUGAGAGAGUGAUCGGCCACGCUGGAACAGAGACACGAGCCAGACUCCGACGGGAGGCAGGAGUAGGGAACCACGCGCAACGGGCGAAAGCCUGACGGAGCAACGCGGCGUGGGUGAUGAAGGUCUUGGGAUCGGAAAACAGUGUUACUAGGGAAGAACAAAUGUGUAAGUAACUGUGGACGUAUUGACGGUACCUAGUCAGAAAGCCACGGCUAACUACGUG
This 497-nucleotide ribosomal RNA is filed under the name uncultured bacterium. RNAcentral's name for it is "partial 16S ribosomal RNA". It matches the Rfam family "Bacterial small subunit ribosomal RNA", at positions 28 to 507 of the family's 1533-position model. The record is from RNAcentral.